Molecule: non-coding RNA, 117 nt
Organism: Homo sapiens (human)
Lineage: Eukaryota; Metazoa; Chordata; Mammalia; Primates; Hominidae
Rfam family: Metazoan signal recognition particle RNA
About the family: The signal recognition particle (SRP) is a universally conserved ribonucleoprotein. It is involved in the co-translational targeting of proteins to membranes. The eukaryotic SRP consists of a 300-nucleotide 7S RNA and six proteins: SRPs 72, 68, 54, 19, 14, and 9.
Source: Rfam
GCUGGGCGUGGUGGCUCACGCCUGUAAUCCCAGCACUUUGGGAGGCCGAGGCGGGUGGAUCACCUGAGGUCAGGAGUUCAAGACCAGCCUGGCCAACAUGGUGAAACCCCGUCUCUA